This 253-nucleotide ribosomal RNA is filed under the name uncultured bacterium. Its description in RNAcentral is "partial 16S ribosomal RNA". It matches the Rfam family "Bacterial small subunit ribosomal RNA", at positions 524 to 776 of the family's 1533-position model. The record is from RNAcentral.
UACAGAGGGUGCAAGCGUUAAUCGGAAUUACUGGGCGUAAAGGGCGCGUAGGCGGCCAGGUCAGUCGGAUGUGAAAUCCCCGGGCUCAACCUGGGAAUUGCAUUCGAUACUGCCUGACUAGAGUGUGGAAGAGGGAAGCGGAAUUUCCGGUGUAGCGGUGAAAUGCGUAGAUAUCGGAAGGAACACCAGUGGCGAAGGCGGCUUCCUGGUCCAACACUGACGCUGAGGCGCGAAAGCGUGGGGAGCGAACAGG